This 984-nucleotide ribosomal RNA is filed under the name Mycobacterium intracellulare. RNAcentral describes it as "bacterial SSU rRNA". It matches the Rfam family "Bacterial small subunit ribosomal RNA", at positions 12 to 997 of the family's 1533-position model. Lineage: Bacteria; Bacillati; Actinomycetota; Actinomycetes; Mycobacteriales; Mycobacteriaceae. The record is from RNAcentral.
UUUGAUUCUGGCUCAGGACGAACGCUGGCGGCGUGCUUAACACAUGCAAGUCGAACGGAAAGGCCCCUUCGGGGGUACUCGAGUGGCGAACGGGUGAGUAACACGUGGGCAAUCUGCCCUGCACUUCGGGAUAAGCCUGGGAAACUGGGUCUAAUACCGGAUAGGACCUUUAGACGCAUGUCUUUUGGUGGAAAGCUUUUGCGGUGUGGGAUGGGCCCGCGGCCUAUCAGCUUGUUGGUGGGGUGAUGGCCUACCAAGGCGACGACGGGUAGCCGGCCUGAGAGGGUGUCCGGCCACACUGGGACUGAGAUACGGCCCAGACUCUUACGGGAGGCAGCAGUGGGGAAUAUUGCACAAUGGGCGCAAGCCUGAUGCAGCGACGCCGCGUGGGGGAUGACGGCCUUCGGGUUGUAAACCUCUUUCACCAUCGACGAAGGUCCGGGUUUUCUCGGAUUGACGGUAGGUGGAGAAGAAGCACCGGCCAACUACGUGCCAGCAGCCGCGGUAAUACGUAGGGUGCGAGCGUUGUCCGGAAUUACUGGGCGUAAAGAGCUCGUAGGUGGUUUGUCGCGUUGUUCGUGAAAUCUCACGGCUUAACUGUGAGCGUGCGGGCGAUACGGGCAGACUAGAGUACUGCAGGGGAGACUGGAAUUCCUGGUGUAGCGGUGGAAUGCGCAGAUAUCAGGAGGAACACCGGUGGCGAAGGCGGGUCUCUGGGCAGUAACUGACGCUGAGGAGCGAAAGCGUGGGGAGCGAACAGGAUUAGAUACCCUGGUAGUCCACGCCGUAAACGGUGGGUACUAGGUGUGGGUUUCCUUCCUUGGGAUCCGUGCCGUAGCUAACGCAUUAAGUACCCCGCCUGGGGAGUACGGCCGCAAGGCUAAAACUCAAAGGAAUUGACGGGGGCCCGCACAAGCGGCGGAGCAUGUGGAUUAAUUCGAUGCAACGCGAAGAACCUUACCUGGGUUUGACAUGCACAGGACG